CCACCCCAGAGUGCCCACUUGAGGUCCUGCGGCUGUGCUUGAAACAAGGAAAGGAAUGAGAAGAUGAAGUGGUCGGAUCUGAUUCCCAGGACACAAUGUCUUUAGAACCAUCGCGAGCCCUGGGCCUGUGCUGUGCCGGCCUCCCGGAAACAGGAAGUCUGGCCCAGAGCUCAGCCAAGGGUGGAGGUGAAACCACCGCGGUCCCAGAAGAGCCCUUGAGCCUGACAGCACAGGCCCGCUCCCACGGGUAGCUUUGCAAGAGCACUUGGAGCAUUUUUCUAAAAUCACGGAAAUAAAGCCUCUGCUUGAAAGGCAACCAACAGACCAGCUUCAGGCCGUGCUGUGCGGUCCCCUCCUCCCUGGGGACGACCUCCUGCACUGCGCCGUGACUCCGGCAUCCGCCCGGCCCAGCUCUCCAUGGUGCAGGGUACACGGCGAAAUGGCUCCCGUGCGCAGGCACAGAGCGGACAGAACUGCGAGCGGGACCCCUGAGACGGAGGCUGGCAGAGCGCACCACAGGCGACUGGAGGCGGCUGCUCACCAAACUCAGGGUCGCAGCUUAGCCAUCUGCUCAGUUCGCUGCUAAGUGACUGCUCCGGCGAAGUCAUUCGUAUCAGCUGUAGGCACCACGAUCUCACGUGUCAGACAGGAGAGCUCUGAGCCAUGGACCCCGGCACCACAGGGGUUGAUACAGGAAAAUAAAAACCCCAAC
RNAcentral lists this long non-coding RNA (712 nucleotides) under Chinchilla lanigera (long-tailed chinchilla). Its description in RNAcentral is "lncRNA (ENSCLAG00000026853.1)". The record is from RNAcentral. Lineage: Eukaryota; Metazoa; Chordata; Mammalia; Rodentia; Chinchillidae.